RNAcentral lists this antisense RNA (75 nucleotides) under Streptomyces sp. AmelKG-D3. RNAcentral's name for it is "ASpks TB sRNA". It matches the Rfam family "ASpks TB sRNA". The record is from RNAcentral. Lineage: Bacteria; Bacillati; Actinomycetota; Actinomycetes; Kitasatosporales; Streptomycetaceae.
CUUCAGCGACCCCAGCCUCAACGGGCGGUCGGCGGGCCGGUCCUGGCCGUACGUGGCCAGCAGCGCCUGCGCCUC